GAUGAACGCUGGCGGCGUGCCUAAUACAUGCAAGUCGAGCGAACAGACGAGGAGCUUGCUCCUCUGACGUUAGCGGCGGACGGGUGAGUAACACGUGGAUAACCUACCUAUAAGACUGGGAUAACUUCGGGAAACCGGAGCUAAUACCGGAUAAUAUAUUGUACCGCAUGGUUCAAUAGUGAAAGACGGUUUUGCUGUCACUUAUAGAUGGAUCCGCGCCGCAUUAGCUAGUUGGUAAGGUAACGGCUUACCAAGGCAACGAUGCGUAGCCGACCUGAGAGGGUGAUCGGCCACACCGGAACUGAGACACGGUCCAGACUCCUACGGGAGGCAGCAGUAGGGAAUCUUCCGCCAUGGGCGAAAGCUUGACGGGGCAACGCCGCGUGAGUGAUGAAGGUCUUCGGAUCGUAAAACUCUGUUAUUAGGGAAGAACAAAUGUGUAAGUAACUAUGCACGUCUUGACGGUACCUAAUCAGAAAGCCACGGCUAACUACGUG
Molecule: ribosomal RNA, 497 nt
Filed under: uncultured bacterium
Lineage: Bacteria
Description: partial 16S ribosomal RNA
Rfam family: Bacterial small subunit ribosomal RNA
Source: RNAcentral